Molecule: transfer RNA, 64 nt
Filed under: Ergaula nepalensis
Lineage: Eukaryota; Metazoa; Arthropoda; Insecta; Blattodea; Corydiidae
Description: tRNA-Arg
Source: RNAcentral
AAAUAAGAAGCAAUAUUUGCAAUUAGUUUCGACCUAACCUUUGAUAUUAAAUUAUCCUUAUUUA